This 1563-nucleotide ribosomal RNA is filed under the name Planktomarina temperata. Its description in RNAcentral is "partial 23S ribosomal RNA". It matches the Rfam family "Bacterial large subunit ribosomal RNA", at positions 1 to 1442 of the family's 2925-position model. Lineage: Bacteria; Pseudomonadati; Pseudomonadota; Alphaproteobacteria; Rhodobacterales; Paracoccaceae. The record is from RNAcentral.
AAUCAAGCGCGAAAAGGGCGUUUGGUGAAUGCCUUGGCAGUAAGAGGCGAUGAAGGACGUGAUACUCUGCGAUAAGUUAUGGGGAGCUGAGAAUAAGCUUUGAUCCAUAAAUUUCCGAAUGGGGCAACCCACCUGAUACUUUGUUAUUAAUACUACUUAUUGUAGUGCCGUUUAAGGGUUCGCCCUUGGGUAGCGUUGCAUGCGGUGGGGCAUAAUAAUAGGGUAAACCAGGUAUUUAUAACUUGAAUACAUAGGGUUAUAAAAGCAAACCCGGGGAACUGAAACAUCUAAGUACCCGGAGGAAAGGACAUCAAUUAGAUACUCCCCUAGUAGCGGCGAGCGAACGGGGACCAGCCGAGCCAUGAGUGUGACUAGAAUGUGUUGGAAAGCACAACCAAAGUGGGUGACAGUCCCGUAUAGGAAGCAUGAUUGGACGUAUUAAGUAGGGCGGGACACGUGAAAUCCUGUUCGAAGAUCGGAGGACCACCUCCGAAGGCUAAGUACUCCUUACUGACCGAUAGUGAACCAGUACCGUGAGGGAAAGGUGAAAAGCACCCCGACGAGGGGAGUGAAACAGUUUCUGAAACCGGACGCCUACAAUCAGUUGGAGGGCCCUUGCGGCCUGACAGCGUACCUUUUGUAUAAUGGGUCAUCGACUUAGUGUAUCUAGCAAGCUUAAGCCGUUAGGUGUAGGCGCAGCGAAAGCGAGUCUUAAUAGGGCGAUUGAGUUAGAUGCAUUAGACCCGAAACCGAGUGAUCUAGGCAUGACCAGGUUGAAGGUUGGGUAACACCAACUGGAGGACCGAACCCACAUCUGUUGAAAAAGAUCGGGAUGAGUUGUGCCUAGGGGUGAAAGGCCAAUCAAACUCGGAGAUAGCUGGUUCUCCGCGAAAUCUAUUUAGGUAGAGCGUCAUCCGAAUACCCCGGGGGGUAGAGCACUGGAUGGGUAAUGGGGCCCCACAGGCUUACUGAUCCUAACCAAACUCCGAAUACCCGGGAGUAAUAGAUGGCAGACACACUGCGGGUGCUAACGCCCGUAGUGAAAAGGGAAACAACCCUGACCGACAGUUAAGGCCCCUAAUUCAUGGCUAAGUGGGAAAGCAGGUGGGACGACCAAAACAACCAGGAAGUUGGCUUAGAAGCAGCCAUCUUUUAAAGAUAGCGUAACAGCUCACUGGUCUAAUUAAGUUGUCCUGCGGCGAAGAUGUAACGGGGCUCAAGCCAUGAGCCGAAACUUCGGAUGCAUUUAAUGCAUGGUAGCGGAGCGUAGUGUGACAUAGUUCCAUGCGUCCUUCGUUUUAUAGCGGACUGCCCAGGCUUUCGAGCCUGUAUGGAGGCGCGUAAAAUACUGGACGCAAGGAGCUUUCUGUGAAGCCGGCCUGUGAGGGAUCCGGUGGAGAGAUCACUAGUGAGAAUGAUGACAUGAGUAACGACAAAGGGGGUGAGAGACCCCCUCGCCGAAAAUCCAAGGGUUCCUGCUUAAAGCUAAUCUGAGCAGGGUAAGCCGGCCCCUAAGCCGAGGGCGAAAGCCGUAGGCGAUGGGAACCAGGUUAAUAUUCCUGG